GAGGCCUGACCACACCCACCCACUCAUCUAGGCCUCGGACCUCAACCGCGUGGACCACGGAGCAGAGGGAAACACUUCGGGCCACUCCGGGAGGGGGGCCCCGAAGUCAGGCGUCCUCAAGCGCUCUGGCUGCUGACCAAGUUCGUGUUCUUUCCAUCCCACGCCGGAGUAGCGCUCGCUACUUCGGGGAAGCGUGAAACUGCUCAGCCCCGGCCACGAGGCCACCUCUGUCUUUAAGACCACAUAAGGAACACCACGAUCGUGCAUCUGUGCAGCUUGUUCCAGAGUCCCAGCCCUCACCAGCUGUGAGGUCACAUCUCUUGGAAGGCAGUCAUCUACCUCAACCAACAGCUUGGAGAUGGCUGGGCAGUAGGACCACAUCUGCCAUUCGAACAGCCUACCACUGGUGCUCUGGGCUGUCCGGCUCCUUCCAGUGGUCCAAGAGAGGAUGCGAUUUUAAAAAAUGCGUAUAUUCAGCUUCCCGGGUGCAUCCUCAUCUUAUGGUAGAUCACCAGAGAGCAAAAGGCAAGCCAAACAGUGCAAGCACCUUUAAAGUCUUUGCUGGCAUCACACCUGCUCACUCUCCGUUGGUUACAGCAAGUCACAGACUCAAGUCCAAGGUCAGUGGAGCAGGGGAGGACAACAGCCCAAGAGGGAGGGGGAACGGGGGUAAAUAUUUACUGAAUAAUACUC
This 693-nucleotide long non-coding RNA is filed under the name Moschus moschiferus (Siberian musk deer). Its description in RNAcentral is "lncRNA (ENSMMSG00000015162.1)". The record is from RNAcentral. Lineage: Eukaryota; Metazoa; Chordata; Mammalia; Artiodactyla; Moschidae.